UACGUAGGGGGCAAGCGUUGUCCGGAAUCAUUGGGCGUAAAGCGCGCGUAGGCGGCCCGGUAAGUCCGCUGUAAAAGUCAAAGGCUCAACCUUUGAAUGUCAGUGGAUACUGCCGGGCUAGAGUCCGGAAGAGGCGAGUGGAACUCCUGGUGUAGCGGUGGAAUGCGCAGAUAUCAGGAAGAACACCGACGGCGAAGGCAGCUCGCUGGGACGGUACUGACGCUGAGGCGCGAAAGCGUGGGGAGCGAACAGG
Molecule: ribosomal RNA, 253 nt
Filed under: uncultured bacterium
Lineage: Bacteria
Description: partial 16S ribosomal RNA
Rfam family: Bacterial small subunit ribosomal RNA
Source: RNAcentral